This 509-nucleotide ribosomal RNA is filed under the name uncultured bacterium. RNAcentral's name for it is "partial 16S ribosomal RNA". It matches the Rfam family "Bacterial small subunit ribosomal RNA", at positions 28 to 506 of the family's 1533-position model. The record is from RNAcentral.
GACGAACGCUGGCGGCGUGCUUAACACAUGCAAGUCGAACGAAGAGCGAUGGAAGCUUGCUUCUAUCAAUCUUAGUGGCGAACGGGUGAGUAACGCGUAAUCAACCUGCCCUUCAGAGGGGGACAACAGUUGGAAACGACUGCUAAUACCGCAUACGAUCUAAACUCGGCAUCGAGGAUAGAUGAAAGGUGGCCUCUACAUGUAAGCUAUCACUGAAGGAGGGGAUUGCGUCUGAUUAGCUAGUUGGAGGGGUAACGGCCCACCAAGGCGAUGAUCAGUAGCCGGUCUGAGAGGAUGAACGGCCACAUUGGGACUGAGACACGGCCCAGACUCCUACGGGAGGCAGCAGUGGGGAAUCUUCCGCAAUGGACGAAAGUCUGACGGAGCAACGCCGCGUGAGUGAUGACGGCCUUCGGGUUGUAAAGCUCUGUUAAUCGGGACGAAAGGCCUUCUUGCGAAGAGUGAGAAGGAUUGACGGUACCGGAAUAGAAAGCCACGGCUAACUACGU